This 381-nucleotide ribosomal RNA is filed under the name uncultured bacterium. RNAcentral describes it as "bacterial SSU rRNA". It matches the Rfam family "Bacterial small subunit ribosomal RNA", at positions 30 to 414 of the family's 1533-position model. The record is from RNAcentral.
AUUGAACGCUGGCGGCAUGCUUUACACAUGCAAGUCGAGCGCGAAAGGCCUUCGGGCUGAGUAGAGCGGCGGACGGGUGAGUAACGCGUAGGAAUCUACCUGGUAGUGGGGGACAACUUGGGGAAACUCAAGCUAAUACCGCAUACGCCCUAUGGGGGAAAGUGGGGGACCUUCGGGCCUCACGCUAUCAGAUGAGCCUGCGUAGGAUUAGCUAGUUGGUGAGGUAAAGGCUCACCAAGGCGACGAUCCUUAGCUGGUCUGAGAGGAUGAUCAGCCACACUGGGACUGAGACACGGCCCAGACUCCUACGGGAGGCAGCAGUGGGGAAUAUUGCGCAAUGGGGGCAACCCUGACGCAGCCAUGCCGCGUGUGUGAAGAAGG